RNAcentral lists this transfer RNA (72 nucleotides) under Candidatus Woesebacteria bacterium RIFCSPHIGHO2_01_FULL_38_10. RNAcentral describes it as "tRNA-Gly". It matches the Rfam family "tRNA". Rfam says of the family: Transfer RNA (tRNA) molecules are approximately 80 nucleotides in length. Their secondary structure includes four short double-helical elements and three loops (D, anti-codon, and T loops). The record is from RNAcentral. Lineage: Bacteria; Candidatus Woeseibacteriota. RNAcentral also lists the same sequence under 1 other name.
GCGGGUGUCGUAUAAAGGCUAUUAUGCCUCCCUUCCAAGGAGGUGAUGGCAGUUCAAUUCUGCUCACCCGCU